This 916-nucleotide ribosomal RNA is filed under the name uncultured bacterium. RNAcentral describes it as "bacterial SSU rRNA". It matches the Rfam family "Bacterial small subunit ribosomal RNA", at positions 8 to 916 of the family's 1533-position model. The record is from RNAcentral.
AGAGUUUGAUCAUGGCUCAGGACGAACGCUGGCGGCGUGCUUAAUACAUGCAAGUCGAGCGAGGUUACUGUUUCGGAUCCCUUCGGGGUGAAGAAGCUUUAACCUAGCGGCGGACGGGUGAGUAACGCGUGGGUAACCUACCCCAAAGUCCGGGAUAACAGCGGGAAACCGCUGCUAAUACCGGAUGCCUUUACCUUGGGGCAUCUUGAGGUAAAGAAAGGCAACGCUUUGGGAUGGGCCCGCGUCCCAUUAGCUAGUUGGUGAGGUAACGGCUCACCAAGGCGACGAUGGGUAGCCGGCCUGAGAGGGUGGACGGCCACACUGGGACUGAGACACGGCCCAGACUCCUACGGGAGGCAGCAGUAGGGAAUAUUGCGCAAUGGACGGAAGUCUGACGCAGCGACGCCGCGUGAGCGAUGAAGGUCUUCGGAUCGUAAAGCUCUGUCCUUGGGGAAGAAGGCGAAAGCUUGACGGUACCCAAGAAGAAAGCCCCGGCUAACUACGUGCCAGCAGCCGCGGUAAUACGUAGGGGGCGAGCGUUGUCCGGAAUUACUGGGCGUAAAGGGUGCGUAGGCGGCCCUUUAAGUCGGAUGUGUAAGCCCGCGGCUUAACCGCGGAAUGGCAUUCGAAACUGGAGGGCUUGAGUGUCGGAGAGGGUAGUGGAAUUCCCAGUGUAGCGGUGAAAUGCGUAGAUAUUGGGAGGAACACCAGUGGCGAAGGCGACUACCUGGACGAUAACUGACGCUGAGGCACGAAAGCUAGGGGAGCAAACAGGAUUAGAUACCCUGGUAGUCCUAGCCGUAAACGAUGGGUACUAGGUGUGGGUGGUUUCGAUACCAUCCGUGCCGUAGUUAACGCAUUAAGUACCCCGCCUGGGGAGUACGUGCGCAAGCAUGAAACUCAAAUGAAUUGACGG